GAUGAACGCUGGCGGCGUGCCUAAUACAUGCAAGUCGAGCGAACGGACGAGAAGCUUGCUUCUCUGAUGUUAGCGGCGGACGGGUGAGUAACACGUGGAUAACCUACCUAUAAGACUGGGAUAAUUUCGGGAAACCGGAGCUAAUACCGGAUAAUAUUUUGAACCGCAUGGUUCAAAAGUGAAAGACGGUCUUGCUGUCACUUAUAGAUGGAUCCGCGCUGCAUUAGCUAGUUGGUAAGGUAACGGCUUACCAAGGCAACGAUGCAUAGCCGACCUGAGAGGGUGAUCGCCCACACUGGAACUGAGACACGGUCCAGACUCCUACGGGAGGCAGCAGUAGGGAAUCUUCCGCAAUGGGCGAAAGCCUGACGGAGCAACGCCGCGUGAGUGAUGAAGGUCUUCGGAUCGUAAAACCCUGUUAUUAGGGAAGAACAUAUGUGUAAGUAACUGUGCACAUCUUGACGGUACCUAAUCAGAAAGCCACGGCUAACUACGUG
Molecule: ribosomal RNA, 497 nt
Filed under: uncultured bacterium
Lineage: Bacteria
Description: partial 16S ribosomal RNA
Rfam family: Bacterial small subunit ribosomal RNA
Source: RNAcentral